RNAcentral lists this small RNA (2399 nucleotides) under Pan troglodytes (chimpanzee). RNAcentral's name for it is "retained intron". The record is from RNAcentral. Lineage: Eukaryota; Metazoa; Chordata; Mammalia; Primates; Hominidae.
CAUGCUGCAGAAGAGGGAGAAGGUGCUGCUGCUGAGGACAUUCCAGGGCCGCACGCUGCGGAUCGUGCGCGAGCACUACCUGCGGCCCUGCGUGCCCUGCCACAGCCCGCUCUGCCCGCAGCCCGCCGCCUGCAGCCACGAUGGGAAACUCUUGUCUAGUGAUGUGACUCAUUACGUGAUCCCAGACUGGAAAGUUGUUCAAGAUUAUCUUGAGAUCCUUGAGUUUCCUGAGUUGAAGGGAAUUAUUUUCAUGCAGACAGCUUGUCAAGCUGUGCAGCAUCAAAGAGGCCGGAGACAGUAUAACAAACUGCGAAACCUGCUGAAGGAUGCGCGUCAUGAUUGCAUUCUCUUUGCUAAUGAAUUCCAGCAAUGCUGCUAUCUGCCACGGGAAAGAGGAGAGUCCAUGGAGAAGUGGCAGACCAGGAGCAUAUACAACGCAGCUGUUUGGUACUAUCAUCACUGCCAGGACAGGAUGCCAAUUGUUAUGGUGACGGAAGAUGAAGAGGCAAUUCAGCAGUAUGGAAGUGAAACAGAAGGAGUAUUCGUGAUUACUUUCAAGAAUUACCUGGACAAUUUCUGGCCUGAUUUAAAAGCUGCCCACGAGCUUUGUGAUUCUAUCCUUCAGUCUCGACGGGAGAGAGAGAAUGAGAGUCAGGAGAGCCAUGGGAAGGAGUACCCAGAACAUCUUCCCCUGGAAGUGUUAGAAGCUGGGAUUAAAUCUGGACGCUAUAUCCAGGGAAUUCUGAAUGUCAACAAACACAGAGCCCAAAUAGAAGCUUUUGUUCGACUUCAAGGAGCCAGCAGUAAAGAUUCAGAUUUAGUCAGUGACAUCCUAAUCCACGGGAUGAAGGCUCGAAACCGCUCAAUUCAUGGAGAUGUGGUAGUUGUGGAGCUGCUUCCUAAAAAUGAAUGGAAAGGAAGAACCGUAGCCCUGUGUGAGAAUGACUGUGAUGACAAGGCUUCGGGCGAGUCCCCAAGUGAGCCCAUGCCUACAGGUCGAGUGGUGGGCAUACUUCAGAAGAACUGGCGGGAUUACGUGGUGACAUUUCCGUCCAAAGAAGAGGUCCAAUCUCAGGGCAAAAAUGCUCAGAAAAUCCUGGUUACACCUUGGGAUUACAGAAUUCCCAAAAUUCGAAUUAGCACUCAGCAAGCAGAAACCCUCCAGGACUUCAGGGUGGUCGUGCGCAUUGAUUCCUGGGAGUCAACAUCUGUGUAUCCAAAUGGACAUUUUGUGCGUGUUUUAGGAAGAAUCGGAGACCUGGAAGGGGAAAUUGCAACCAUCCUGGUGGAAAACAGUAUUUCAGUUAUUCCUUUCUCAGAAGCUCAGAUGUGUGAGAUGCCAGUAAACACACCAGAAAGUCCCUGGAAGGUGAGUCCUGAAGAGGAACAAAAACGUAAAGACUUGAGGAAAAGCCAUCUCGUAUUCAGCAUUGACCCCAAAGGUUGUGAAGAUGUGGAUGACACACUCUCAGUCAGAACCUUAAAUAAUGGCAACCUGGAACUUGGGGUCCACAUCGCAGAUGUAACACACUUUGUGGCACCAAAUUCUUACAUUGAUAUUGAAGCUAGAACAAGGGCCACCACUUAUUAUCUAGCAGAUCGUCGCUAUGACAUGCUGCCUUCCGUCCUCAGUGCGGAUUUGUGUUCCCUUCUGGGAGGCGUUGAUAGGUAUGCUGUAAGCAUCAUGUGGGAACUGGAUAAAGCCUCUUAUGAAAUUAAGAAAGUGUGGUAUGGCAGAACCAUUAUUCGAUCAGCAUACAAACUGUUCUAUGAAGCAGCCCAAGAACUACUGGAUGGAAACUUAAGCGUUGUUGAUGAUAUUCCAGAAUUCAAAGACUUGGAUGAGAAGAGCAGACAAGCCAAGCUGGAGGAGUUGGUGUGGGCAAUUGGAAAGCUGACCGACAUAGCUCGCCAUGUCAGAGCUAAACGAGACGGAUGUGGUGCCCUGGAACUGGAAGGGGCAGAGGUUCGCGUACAGCUAGAUGACAAAAAGAACAUUCACGACCUCAUCCCCAAGCAGCCCCUGGAAGUCCACGAGACAGUGGCUGAAUGCAUGAUCCUGGCCAACCACUGGGUCGCCAAAAAGAUCUGGGAGAGCUUCCCUCAUCAGGCCUUGCUGCGCCAGCACCCUCCUCCACACCAGGAGUUCUUUUCAGAACUCCGGGAAUGUGCUAAAGCCAAAGGCUUCUUCAUAGAUACACGGUAUUCCUCUUUUGAGGGGGCAGAGGAAUGGAGUGGCAUGCUGUAUAUUUAGUUAUCUUACAGUUGUUCUUAAAAUGUGACAGCCAGAUCUUUGACCAAAAAGAGAAAACAGAUUCUUGGCUCUCCUCAUUUUUGAAGACACAUUUUUCUCUCUUCAUUGUUAUGUAUAGAGACUUAAAACAAGUUUAUUUAGGCAU